AGGGUUAUAAUUUAAUUAAAAUAUUUGAUUUGCAUUCAAAAAAUAUUGAAUUUGAUUCAAUUUACCUUA
Molecule: transfer RNA, 69 nt
Filed under: Attacus atlas formosanus
Lineage: Eukaryota; Metazoa; Arthropoda; Insecta; Lepidoptera; Saturniidae
Description: tRNA-Ala
Rfam family: tRNA
About the family: Transfer RNA (tRNA) molecules are approximately 80 nucleotides in length.
Source: RNAcentral